This is a long non-coding RNA of Anopheles bellator, 3419 nucleotides long. RefSeq lists it as uncharacterized. The record is from RefSeq and is a predicted model, not a curated record. The transcript has 8 exons. Lineage: Eukaryota; Metazoa; Arthropoda; Insecta; Diptera; Culicidae.
CUAGCAUCAUUUUUGUGAACAAUUAUGCGUAAAUUGUAGGUGUAUAAAUACGUUAAGUCUAAUGAAGUAAAGACGGUUCGUGUUUAUAAUUGUUUUGUUAAUGGAUUGAAAGACUUAUCAAUGCGUACUUUCUACAACAAGUUAAUAGAGUGCUCCGGGCAAACUUAGGAAUGCUCUAGCGAAAUGCGGAUUAUGGUGAUUGCAAUGAAUGCUAAUGAUUGCGGUACAUGUUUUAGGCUCUAAAAAGACUUGAUUCACUUAUUUAUGUGUCAACCAUGAGUAAACGACGCCGAACGAGUUCGUUUCAAGAUGAUGAAGAUACUGAGGACGAUGUCACUCCGGAGCAAAGCCCAGCCUCAAGCUCAAGCACAAGAAAGAAAAAAAAUAGAUCCGAUGGAACUUUGCCAACAACUGUACGAAUCAAUUCGCAAUUUUAAAAAGGAGGAUGGCUCAACGCUGUGCGAUACUUUCAUAAGAGCUCCAAAACGACGGCAAGAACCUUCUUACUACGAAGUAGUGGCGAAUCCGAUUGAUUUACUGCGUCUGCAACAGAAAUUGAAGACAGAUUCUUAUGAAGAUGUUGACGACUUGGCCACGGAUAUUGAACUAAUCGUAAACAAUGCUAAAGCCUUCUACAGUUUCAAGAUGCAUGUCAACUCUUGGAGGUAUUCAAUACGAACCGAAAGCGAAUUGUGGACAAUCAGAUAGAAGAGGGUAGUUUGGAAAUUCGGCCACGAAAAAUAACUCGUCCGCGUAAGUCCAUCACUGCAGAAGAUGAUGACUCGGAUGAAGGACUAGAUUUUGAUCCCUAUCAGGAGCUUUUUGCUACGGUUAUGACAGCAACCGACCCGUUUGGUAAUCACGAGCUGCAUCCUAUGUUUCAGCUGUUACCAUCAAAGAAACUAUAUCCUGGUUAUUACGACAUAAUUGAUCAUCUAAUCGACUUAAAGUUUAUUGCUACUAAAAUCCAAACGAGUGCCUAUUCGAGUCUCAACGAAAUGGACAAAGAUCUUUUGCAAAUGACGAAGAACGCCUGCACUUUUAACGAGCCUGGUUCGCAAAUUUAUAAGGAUGCAAAAAUGCUGAAAAAAAUGUUUAUGGCUCGAAAGGCAGACAUUGAAUCGGGGCGUUAUAAAGAGCCUGCGUCGAAAAGAACACGAUCCAAUUCAAGUGCCAGCCUUGCACUUGAAUGGUUGCAGUCUUGAAAGAAGAAAUUGAAAGCUCCGAUGAUGAUUUAGACGAUUCGAGGGAAACAGAAGGGGAUGGUCCACUUUGGCAGUUGUUUGAUCAGCUGUACAAUACGGCCAAUAGUAAUGGUUCAAAAUUGUCCCACAUAUUAUUUUAAUGUGUUUUUUAAGUUCAUGUAUCGAUCACCGUGCGUUUGUUCGUCAUGUUGGUUUUGUUUUGUGUGAAUUUUUUAAUUCCAUCGUUUGCUGAAUUUAAUGAAUUCAUACAGAUCCUAAUGCUAUAGGUGCCUCAUUGGGUGAAUCAUUAUGGAAGCUGCCGAACAGCCGAUUCCAUAUGGAAUAUUACACGCUGAUAAAAAACCAAACCCGGAAAAAAAUGUAUUUGUGUGCGAAUCUCGCUACAGCUCAAAGGCGCGAUCGUUUUAAAAACUGAAAACUUUUAAUCUGACGAGGUCAUUUGAUCCCGUUAAGUUGAUUCCGCGUUAAACACCUCUCGUCGUUAAGCGAGUUAUGUCCGUAUUUAAAGAGCGUGUUGAAAACAUAAGGAAGAGCUAUCGAAAAUCACAGCUUCAAGAAGCAAUCUCAGAGAAGGAGAAACUGAAUGUUGUUGUUUACAUGAACGAUUCGGAGGAUGGCAAAUGGCAACGUAUACUAUGAACAGUACAACACUGUUUGUGGAGGUGUAAUUAAAACCGGUGAUUAUGUGUACGUCGCAACGGAGUCCGGAAAACAGUCGAUUUCUCAAAUUACAUCUAUUUGGGAAACCCGAGAUGGAAAAUCGUUGUUUCGCGGACCGUGGCUUCUUACGCCCUCGGAAGUUCCUGGUACCAUAUGUCGCUUAUUCUAUCGACAGGAAGUGUCAGGAACAUUCAGGAAAUAACAUCCACUGUGGCAAUCGUUGGUAGAUGUGUAGUUCUCGAUCAGAACGAAUAUAUAAGCCGGCGACCAACUGAAAUUGCCAAAUCGGAUGUGUACAUGUGUGAAUCGAUUUUUGAUGAAUUCAAAAAGCAGAUAAGAAAAAUAGUUGCUCCAUCAGGAUUGCGUAAGUUUACUCAUAGUCAGAUGGUAACAACGGACGAAGUUUAUCAUUUCUAACGCCCAAAAAACCCUCCAAAGGUUACUGGAAGAGAGAUAGCAGCUGUACAGGACAACAAACCGAACACGGCCAAUGAUGUGAUGCCAAAAAAUCAUCGUACACUUGUCUGUCCUGUGUACACCUGAAUCUUACAGGACAUGAAGGACGAGUUUGUCAUUAUCGAUGAUUCGAUCGAUGGUCCUUCGUCGAUUGGUUCAGAUACGGCGCUGACGGCAUAGCCUCUUCCAUCACAUACGGAUUAUAGCAGCACUGUAACGGCCACUAGCAGAAAAGCUUCAAAAGCGGGUAAAAAACUGGUCACUGGCUACAUAAUCUACUCGAGUGAACACCGGAAAACAAUCUGCGUCAGUAAUCCGGAAGCGACAUUUGGUGACGUGUCGCGCAUUGUCGGAAACGAGUGGCGUAAUUUGAGUGAUCAAGAGAAGACCGUAUGGGAGCAGAGAGCUAUCAAAAUCAAUGAAGAAAGUGCAGCAAAGUGCGGCGGAAAUGGGAGAAUCAAGCUGCCCAAGCCCAGCUACCGUUAAGACAGAGGGCCUGGUCGUCCCAAUCAUGAAUGUUGUAGGCUAACACAGGCGUCAAUCUAACGACCGUUUCUAACGAGCGAAAGAUUGCCCAGAAGCCGUGGUCAAUGCUCUUUGGCAACUACGAAAUUUCAUGAUGAAGGAAGUUAUUCAGUUUGAUCGAUUUUAGUGGUGCAGGUAUGUUAGAGACUAAAUUUCUUUCUUAUUAAACAGAUAAGAUCGAGGAGUAUGGAACUUUGGUUUUAUUCAUACAUUUAUGCCUGUGUACGUAUGUAGUACAUAUUUUUUAUGCAUUUAAUAAGACAUUUGAAUUUUGUCUAACAUUAAAUGUAUAUGAAAAUAUGAGUGGAACAAGUAAAAAUUACAACCUAGACCGAAUAGCUUGAUUCCAUUCUACGGUGGUGCUGAUUUCUAUAACUUCUUUUGCACAACCCCAACACAGCGUCACUCCGCAACCUCCGUGGCCGUAAUUGUGAAUAACAGGCACCGACCUAUUGCCUAAGAAUCAUGAAAAGUAUAUCGUUAUUGUCAGUUACAGUAUAAUGUAGUUCUGUGCGUAGUAGUUAAAUGAUUAAUGUUCAAACAUUUAUUGCGGAAUAUUAAAGUUGAGUACAA